UGACGGAGGAGCUUGCUCCUCCUGAUUAGUGGCGAACGGGUGAGUAAUACGUGAGCAAUGUGCCCUUGACUCUGGGAUAAGCGCUGGAAACGGCGUCUAAUACCGGAUACGACGAUCGGAGGCAUCUCCUGGUCGUGGAAAGAACUUCGGUCAAGGAUCAGCUCACGGCCUAUCAGUUAGUUGGUGAGGUAAUGGCUCACCAAGACGACCACCGGUAGCCGGGCUGAGAGGGUGACCGGCCACACUGGGACUGAGACACCGCCCCGACUCCUACCGGAGGCAGCAGUGGGGAAUAUU
Molecule: ribosomal RNA, 297 nt
Filed under: bacterium 09-L049641-122-013-A02
Lineage: Bacteria
Description: partial 16S ribosomal RNA
Rfam family: Bacterial small subunit ribosomal RNA
Source: RNAcentral